Molecule: long non-coding RNA, 498 nt
Organism: Papaver somniferum (opium poppy)
Lineage: Eukaryota; Viridiplantae; Streptophyta; Magnoliopsida; Ranunculales; Papaveraceae
Exons: 3
Source: RefSeq, a predicted model, not a curated record
GUAGGUAAUAUAUUGUCCAUGAAUAUUGACAACCCCAUACAGCAACUUGGUGGAAUGGUUUCAAAAUACCAUACAAAACGUAUCAUUGUUUGUAACCAUUUUAUUGUGAUCAUGAUCAUGGUUGAAUCUCCGUGAAAUAAAUUUUAUUUUGGGUCCCUAGAUUGCUCUGUGGUGUGGUGUGCUGCUGAUGCUCUAGCGUAAAUAUGUGUGCUUCAUAAUUUUCUAAACCUUGCACAGAGGUGUAACUCAUCUCCAGGACAAAAAUGCUUUCCAACUGUCCACAGCCGACACUACAUCCUGUCUCGAGUGCAACAACAGGUUAAACUCAAUUUUUUUCAGAGGAAAGACAAGGGGCUUUGAUGCAAUUGACCCUUCUCUAGAAAGGGAUAGUGAUUGCAUCGCCUGAUUAAUUUCCUAGAGACGUUCUUGCAUUUGUCCAUGGGUAAACACUCCAAGAUGACAUGGUCCAUGGACGAGCAUUACCGGGUACUGGAGGUC